This is a non-coding RNA of Heterocephalus glaber (naked mole-rat), 325 nucleotides long. NCBI's taxonomy places the organism in Eukaryota, Metazoa, Chordata, Mammalia, Rodentia, Bathyergidae. The record is from RefSeq and is a predicted model, not a curated record.
UGAGACAUCUGUGGAAACACAUCCACCUUGUUAAGCAUCAUGUUUAACAAGGAAACAGGGGUACAUCCUUGGGCUUUUCAGAUGAAAAGGCAGGAAUGACCGGAAGGAUAUGAAGAUUAUUACCACAUCACCAUGUUAUCAGAGCAAGGCAAAGAGCAGCAAAGCAUAUUGAAUGCUGAAGUUUCAUUUUCUACAAAGGACAUCAUUGAAAAGAAGUGGAGAAAGAGGCAGGGACCUAUUGCAGGUGGAUGCAAAAUGGUGAUGAGGCAGACCACAUUGAGAGCAGAAAGCCUGCUCAUUCAAGCAACCAACCAGCGUGGGAGGA